UCUACCCAUCUCUACGGAAUAACUCAGGGAAACUUGUGCUAAUACCGUAUACGCCCUUCGGGGGAAAGAUUUAUCGGAGAUGGAUGAGCCCGCGUUGGAUUAGCUAGUUGGUGGGGUAAAGGCCUACCAAGGCGACGAUCCAUAGCUGGUCUGAGAGGAUGAUCAGCCACACUGGGACUGAGACACGGCCCAGACUCCUACGGGAGGCAGCAGUGGGGAAUAUUGGACAAUGGGCGAAAGCCUGAUCCAGCCAUGCCGCGUGAGUGAUGAAGGCCCUAGGGUUGUAAAGCUCUUUCAACGGUGAAGAUAAUGACGGUAACCGUAGAAGAAGCCCCGGCUAACUUCGUGCCAGCAGCCGCGGUAAUACGAAGGGGGCUAGCGUUGUUCGGAAUUACUGGGCGUAAAGCGCACGUAGGCGGAUCGUUAAGUGAGGGGUGAAAUCCCAGGGCUCAACCCUGGAACUGCCUUUCAUACUGGCGAUCUUGAGUUCGAGAGAGGUGAGUGGAAUUCCGAGUGUAGAGGUGAAAUUCGUAGAUAUUCGGAGGAACACCAGUGGCGAAGGCGGCUCACUGGCUCGAUACUGACGCUGAGGUGCGAAAGCGUGGGG
RNAcentral lists this ribosomal RNA (607 nucleotides) under Hoeflea sp. Its description in RNAcentral is "bacterial SSU rRNA". It matches the Rfam family "Bacterial small subunit ribosomal RNA", at positions 125 to 766 of the family's 1533-position model. The record is from RNAcentral. Lineage: Bacteria; Pseudomonadati; Pseudomonadota; Alphaproteobacteria; Hyphomicrobiales; Rhizobiaceae.